GUGUCAGCAGCCGCGGUAAUACGUAGGGUGCAAGCGUUGUCCGGAAUUACUGGGCGUAAAGAGCUCGUAGGUGGUUUGUCGCGUCGUCUGUGAAAUCCCGGGGCUUAACUUCGGGCGUGCAGGCGAUACGGGCAUAACUUGAGUGCUGUAGGGGAGACUGGAAUUCCUGGUGUAGCGGUGAAAUGCGCAGAUAUCAGGAGGAACACCGAUGGCGAAGGCAGGUCUCUGGGCAGUUACUGACGCUGAGGAGCGAAAGCAUGGGUAGCGAACAGGAUUAGAUACCCCCGUAGUCC
RNAcentral lists this ribosomal RNA (293 nucleotides) under uncultured prokaryote. Its description in RNAcentral is "partial 16S ribosomal RNA". It matches the Rfam family "Bacterial small subunit ribosomal RNA", at positions 505 to 796 of the family's 1533-position model. The record is from RNAcentral.